RNAcentral lists this ribosomal RNA (471 nucleotides) under uncultured bacterium. RNAcentral describes it as "partial 16S ribosomal RNA". It matches the Rfam family "Bacterial small subunit ribosomal RNA", at positions 28 to 506 of the family's 1533-position model. The record is from RNAcentral.
GACGAACGCUGGCGGCGUGCUUAACACAUGCAAGUCGAACGCUGAAGCUUGGUGCUUGCACUGGGUGGAUGAGUGGCGAACGGGUGAGUAAUACGUGAGUAACCUGCCCUUGACUCUGGGAUAAGCCUGGGAAACUGGGUCUAAUACUGGAUACGACAUGUCACCGCAUGGUGGUGUGUGGAAAGGGUUUUACUGGUUUUGGAUGGGCUCACGGCCUAUCAGCUUGUUGGUGGGGUAAUGGCUCACCAAGGCGACGACGGGUAGCCGGCCUGAGAGGGUGACCGGCCACACGGGGACUGAGACACGGCCCAGACUCCUACGGGAGGCAGCAGUGGGGAAUAUUGCACAAUGGGCGGAAGCCUGAUGCAGCGACGCCGCGUGAGGGAUGACGGCCUUCGGGUUGUAAACCUCUUUCAGCACGGAAGAGGCGAAAGUGACGGUACGUGCAGAAGAAGCGCCGGCUAACUACGU